UCUCAAGAAAAUGCCAGCUCCUGUGAAGUGCAAGCACGCUUGAAAACAUGCCAAUCUUUUGGAUGGUGACAACCAUAUCACUUAGUGUUUGGAACUAUGCUCUCUUUUAACUUCAUCUUGAAUAAAUCUUUAUAUGUCGACUAAUGUGUUUCACAGGGCCUAACAUCGAUCAAAGUUUAAUAAAUGGGAACCAAUAACAUCCUUGAUCUUGCUC
This 214-nucleotide long non-coding RNA is filed under the name Elaeis guineensis (African oil palm). Its description in RNAcentral is "long non-coding RNA (EGUI_LNC026496)". The record is from RNAcentral. Lineage: Eukaryota; Viridiplantae; Streptophyta; Magnoliopsida; Arecales; Arecaceae.